UACGUAGGGGGCAAGCGUUGUCCGGAAUUACUGGGUGUAAAGGGUUCGUAGGCGGUGUGGCAAGUCGGGAGUGAAAUCUCUGGGCUCAACCCAGAGACUGCUUCCGAAACUGCUGUGCUUGAGUGUGAGAGAGGCUCGUGGAAUUGCAGGUGUAGCGGUGAAAUGCGUAGAUAUCUGCAGGAACACCCGUGGCGAAAGCGGCGAGCUGGAUCACUACUGACGCUGAGGAACGAAAGCUAGGGGAGCAAACAGG
This 253-nucleotide ribosomal RNA is filed under the name uncultured bacterium. RNAcentral describes it as "partial 16S ribosomal RNA". It matches the Rfam family "Bacterial small subunit ribosomal RNA", at positions 524 to 776 of the family's 1533-position model. The record is from RNAcentral.